This is a long non-coding RNA of Pseudoliparis swirei, 3568 nucleotides long. RefSeq lists it as uncharacterized. The record is from RefSeq and is a predicted model, not a curated record. NCBI's taxonomy places the organism in Eukaryota, Metazoa, Chordata, Actinopteri, Perciformes, Liparidae. The transcript is spliced from 3 exons.
UUUAUUGAGGAUUUUAUUUGUUAUGUUUGUUAAUGCAUUAUGCAAAGAGAAAUUACGAUUCAAAUUGCAGUAAAGCUAAAACAACGCAAUGCAUUUCAGCUAUUUAAAGGGAAGGAGGGGCAUUUAUUUAGUCCUCGCGUUGAUAUUUUAAUGACGACACCAUGAAAUAAAAGUUUCGAGUCACGUCCGGUUAACUGGUGUGGUCGGGGGGAAAAAGUUUCAAAAAGGAAACUCACCUUGGGACUCGGGAGGAGAUGCGUCGCUGCCAUCCUGGUCCGCCAUUUCUCCUGACGUCAGCUGAGAGGGAUCAGCGGCAGGAACCCGAGGGACCUGCUGCGAUGAUGCGGAGACCGGCACCCUCCUGACUCCCUACCCCACCCCACCGGACAGGUGGGGGGGCGACGCAGGCUAACGCCUAUUAGUGGAAUACACUUCUACUGAGGUUUCAACGUGAAGCUGGAUCCCACCUGGCCCCACCCGUUAUGACGGAGCUGUGGAGCGAGCUCUGAGCAGAACGACUGGAAACCGGGGGUUGGCUCUGGCUCUGCCCUUUAUGUAUCAAACCAAGAAACUAUACUCUUUAGUGAGCUUUAGAGAUGCUGGCGGGCAUAAAUGUAUUAGUAUUAUUCACUUUUAUAUGUUAAAUCAAGUUCAUCUGCUGAUGCAUCCUGCUUAAUACAUCUUAAUUACAUCUCGGGGCUCAUAGGAUCUAUUUAUAAGGACCUACUUUAUUUUACGUGAUCUUAAUAGAGUAAAGGCCGAUUUGAUAAUUGUUAGACCUUGCUGUAUUUAUUAUAUAGAUUUAUAUUUAUUUAAAAAUGCUGAUUUUUCAUUUGUACAGGGACCUGACUAUUUAAUGUAAGCUUUGUCUGGGCACAUACACACACACACACACACACACACACACUCUAUGUGAUGCUCUCUCCUCUCAGGUUUUCAUAUGAAACUGAUACAGAGCCUGACCUUUACUCCAAACCAGCAUUCUCCCCAUCUCUCUAUCGCACACACACACACACACGGUCAACACAAAACAAAAUACACCACGUCUAAUUUAGGUCUGAACAUGGAGGUGUUAACGGGCGUAAAGGCAGUGUGACUUCCUGUUUACCGACACCUGACCAAACAUCACGAGUAGAGCAGAAGUCCAGCUGCUCACACAGCGCCAUCGUGUAUCUAUUCAUGGUCGGACCGAUGGAAGCGAGCCGUAACGAUGCACCACGGUGACGACACGUCGACAUACUGAUGCGCUGGUUUCAUUCCCUUCCGUCUUCCGACACGGCCAUCAGCUUCCAAGCCUUCCAUGUCUUUCUACAGCAGUCAGCACGGCGCUAAUUGCGGCAGCCAGCAUGAUGUCAGACCGGCAAUAAUACCAGAGAGCCGGGGGAUUAUCAGGUGAUGGUAUCCCAUUUGCUGUGUGAAAGACAUAAUUUGAGGAGGUGUCAUGCUGCUGGGAAUAUCCAUGCUGAAAUAUGGCUUGAAGUCUGGGGGAAAUGGGACAUGUGCAGACAACAGAGGAGUCUUUUUCAACAGUAAUGCUACAAUGGGGAAGUAAAAAAUGGAUUUCCAUCCAGAAAUCCCAGCAGAAGCCGACUGCAGCACUCUAAAACACGAAACACUCAUUUGUUGCAGUGUUUUUGAGUUUUGAGCUUUAUGCAUUUGCAUUAAACAUUACAGGCUGUCACGGAAUUGGAAGAAAGGCAAAUGUUGAUUGACUGAGCACGCUGCGCCGGGAGCCAUCCAUCCCUCCCUGGAAAGCAUCACAUAGUCGAUCCGAGUGGGGAAGCGUCGUACGCGACUUGUAGAUCAAGCGCAUCUGCUGACGGACGACUGACACGCGGCCAAGAGCUCGUCCGGCUUUGAAAUGUAAAGCCAGUCCACACUCAGCUCUUUGCUACUUGAGUGAGAAGAACCCCCAGCCGGGCUGUGAAGAGAGGAGGACGCCUGCAAACAAGAUUGCAGCCGUAAAAAAGAAAAACGGCGGCUUCAGAUGGCUACAAAGAGACGAACUCUCUGAUGUUUGGGUAGAUGGAAGCAGUUCGGAGCUGCGGGGAGUCGUAAUGGCUGCGCACACACGCAGGCCGCCUGCUUGUCUUUCGGUGUCGGGAGACGAUUUGCAUUGCGACACUCUGUCAGCAGACACGCUGUGACAGACAGUCACGCUUUGGUGUUGACAUUCAGUGCCCUGCUGUGAUUUGUGCGGGUGUUUGUGCGCAUGCGCACUGCAAUACAAACUCAGUAAGAGUUGGAGAUGCGUCGCAUGAACCAAUAACCACACGCGCCUUCUGCUUCAUAUUUAAACGUGUGCCGUCCUCUGGCAUGUUCAUGUGUGCAGGCACGUGUGGAUGCACGCUCACGCCGCCUGGUUUCUUCUCUGAUUGGCUGAGUCUGAGGCGACAGACCAACUGUAUGCCUGCAGCGUGUGUGUGUGUUAGAGUGUGUGUGUGUGUGCUUGUGUGCUUGUGUGCAGACCCUCUGUUGGGAGGAAGGGGGUCAGAGCCAGACAAGGUGAUUGGCUGGUGAGGAGAGCCACAGCAUCAGCACAUCCUUAACCCACUGCCCUUCUUUCCCCUCCUUCUCCUUCUCUCUCGCUCUCUCUCUCUCUCUCCCCCCCCCCCCCCCCCCCCUGCCAACAUACUGCAGGGUGAGCGCUUUAGCAUUUACACAUCUAUAUAAUCCCUCGUUUCGUUGCACCCCCCCUCCAAAAUAUCUCCCGCCCCGUUCUUAAAUGAAGAGGGCGCAGAAUGAUGGAGCUGUCGACAGAUCAUCCCUCGAAAGGUGAAAUGGGUUGAAAAGGUCAAAAUUCCGGCGUCGCUUCACACAAACAGGGAACCUGAACCACGGACGGCCAUGGCCUGGUCACGCCUCUUGCUCUAGAGGACGACCCGAUAUAGACGUGAAUACCAGCGGCAGGGAACACAAUGACUGCAGAAUGCAGGUUCUUAAUAUACACCUGUGAUGAACAUCAUUUGGAACGCGGACCAAAAACCGUGGUGCGUAAAAGGCGCAACCGUGCGCUUUCUCCCCCAGAGACGAUAUAGAGGCGUGUAGUCGAUAAAUGCAAUGUGUUAAGAUGUUAAGAGCAACGUUAUUAAACCAGACGGCUAUAUUCUCGCCUCGGUCGCGCGAGCCGGCAGGUAUCAGUGUUGCAGAGGACAAAGAGACAUCAAUAAACCCAAAGACACCGACUGUUUAAUGGAGGGCGAUGGGGUUCACUGUAAAAUGGGGGGGGGGGGGGGGGGUAAUUCCGACGCCUUUGCAAAGAACGGAGCAUCGAAAAUCCCAGAUGAGCAUAACUGAUCCAUGAUAAUGUGGCUCAAGCUAUACAGCACGCGUAAAGUCGGCCAAGCAGAGCGGGUGUUCACAAAUUAAUUCUAGUGAGUGAGUUUACAUUUGAUAUAAUGUUGGGUUCAAACCAUAGACCCCAUAUCACCUUGACGAAUCGGGGAUUCCGGACCGUUAUCCCUAUGUGUGUGUGUGUGAUUCCGUCCACAUGUCUCCGGAGACGUGCAUAUGUGAAGGUGUCGGUGACCAGCGCGCCCGCUGUAACCGUGUGUGAUGUGUGUAAGAU